This 253-nucleotide ribosomal RNA is filed under the name uncultured bacterium. RNAcentral's name for it is "partial 16S ribosomal RNA". It matches the Rfam family "Bacterial small subunit ribosomal RNA", at positions 524 to 776 of the family's 1533-position model. The record is from RNAcentral.
UACGUAGGGCGCAAGCGUUGUCCGGAAUUAUUGGGCGUAAAGAGCUCGUAGGCGGCUUGUCACGUCGGGUGUGAAAACUCGGGGCUUAACCCCGGGCCUGCAGUGGGUACGGGCAGACUAGAGUGCGGUAGGGGAGACUGGAAUUCCUGGUGUAGCGGUGAAAUGCGCAGAUAUCAGGAGGAACACCGGUGGCGAAGGCGGGUCUCUGGGCCGUAACUGACGCUGAGGAGCGAAAGCGUGGGGAGCGAGCAGG